AGCGGACAGAUGGGAGCUUGCUCCCUGAAGUCAGCGGCGGACGGGUGAGUAACACGUGGGCAACCUGCCUGUAAGACUGGGAUAACUCCGGGAAACCGGGGCUAAUACCGGAUAAUUCUUUCCCUCACAUGAGGGAAAGCUGAAAGAUGGUUUCGGCUAUCACUUACAGAUGGGCCCGCGGCGCAUUAGCUAGUUGGUGAGGUAACGGCUCACCAAGGCAACGAUGCGUAGCCGACCUGAGAGGGUGAUCGGCCACACUGGGACUGAGACACGGCCCAGACUCCUACGGGAGGCAGCAGUAGGGAAUCUUCCGCAAUGGACGAAAGUCUGACGGAGCAACGCCGCGUGAGUGAUGAAGGUUUUCGGAUCGUAAAACUCUGUUGUUAGGGAAGAACAAGUACCGGAGUAACUGCCGGUACCUUGACGGUACCUAACCAGAAAGCCACGGCUAACUACGUGCCAGCAGCCGCGGUA
Molecule: ribosomal RNA, 474 nt
Filed under: Cytobacillus firmus
Lineage: Bacteria; Bacillati; Bacillota; Bacilli; Caryophanales; Bacillaceae
Description: bacterial SSU rRNA
Rfam family: Bacterial small subunit ribosomal RNA
Source: RNAcentral